GUCUCCUAGAAGAAAUCCUCUCAACCCCCUUGCUAUAGGACGAGGCACAAGCAUUUCCAAAUGAGAAACCUCAGGAAGAUGAGCCUCCGGGGCUACCAGAGUGACCCCUCAGUUAGAAUUUUAGGCUCUAGUGGACAUGCUGUAAUGAAGUCAGGGCCGGGCUUUAGGAGGCGAAUAGUAUAAUUCUGUCACCCCCCAAAACAGGCCUUUGUUUGACAUGCAGAUCCGCAGUGACAGCAAAGUAUUUCGAUCUUGGAAUACACAGCAGGUGUUGGAACAAGGCCAAAGCGGAAAGAUGCAGCCAUCACAUGGCAGCCAAAAGGGUUUUCUUAUCCCUGUUCCGCGUGAAGUGCUUUAGUGCCUCAGGGAUAGUUGUCAAGCCCCACAGAGCCUCUGGAAGCCCUGAGAGCACCAAACAGCAGAUGCCUCACCCAAAGUCUGGCAACAACAAAAAGUCUUGAAGUGGCCAACAUGACUUCACUGCUGCCAUCACCACCGAGCUGUCUGGGCAACCCCAGAACGGCAAACGAAACGAGGCCUAACGAAGGGCUGAGACUCCUCCUCAUGUUUCUUUGCUGGUGGAUCUGGAGUUCAGGAGAGGAAACUGAGGUUAGGCCGGUGUGCAGAAGGGCGCAGGUGCUAACGGUCUUGAACACGUGAGUCCAGAACCAUGAUUUAUUCUUCUAGCUCUCGGCCCAGGAACAGAUAGUAAAAUAUACCUUUAAACUCUGCAUGUGAUUAAUUGAUUUAAAGGUGAAGUCUAGAACACCUUGAAAUGUUUGUAUCCUAUUUUCCCUUGGAACAUUUAAAACAAAUAAUAUGAGAGAUAAAAGUACUCUUGAUAGAAACUUGAUUCAACAGUCAGGAAAUUGUCUGAAUAUUCCUCUUUCCCUUAUUCUAGCAGUUUUGUCUAUAUAAACAUUCAUAUUACCCAUAAUUUUUAAUAGUUUUGUAUAAAGAAACUGUAAGUUAUCUCUGAGCCUCCUGGUGGUGUUUCUUCAUUGUGUAUCUUUACUUCCUUUUGUUUGUAUUUUGAAAAAACUGCUUCAAGUUUUUAAGGCAGUGGACUAUGACUCUCCAUUCAUCAAAGAAAAUCAUAUUUGAAAGCUCAGAGUUCCUUCUUAACUGUGAUUAUGUCUCUUUGCCUUUUUUCCGGCCUUUGCAGCAGAUUUUCAGAAAUUUGCAAUGCCUCAUUUAUCUAAGACCCUGUGUGGGAGAGUCAGAGUGCCUAACCAAGUUUAUGGCUUCUAUCUGCAUCCACACCAGAUUGGAAGCAGUGGAAACUUCUAGCAGAGAGCAACCUCAAUUUGCAUUCCAGUUGAGUCGACCGUCUCUGCCUCUGGCUGCUCCUUUCCUCUCAUCUCUAUGUGCAGAUCGAUCAAGAGUUUCCAUGGACAGAGGGGCAGGGUCUCUCCUCUGCACAAGCACUGUGGCAUCGAGCUGAUGAAACAAGCCUGGCCAUGACAGCCUCAACCCAGGAGACUUUUCCUUCAGCAGAUGUGAAAAUGGGACUAAACCAACCACUUUAUUUAGCCACCAAAAGCUCUGGGUGCACGAAGUUUCCAAGCUGCAAGGACUCUCAGAGGUAAAAAUAGCCUUGAGCUGCGAUACAGGGGUACCGGGGUUUCACCCGUCUCUGCUGCCGAACUUUUCGGGUCACCAUCGCCGGGUCCCCGAAGGAAGCGCUUCGGUUCUCGAUCCCGCCUCUGAAGUUGAACAUGCCCCGCGGUGUCCGCUGAGGCCGGAUCCUGAGGCCUGGCUGUGGGCUGUGGACCCCUCGGUUUUCCAACUUUUCAGAACUCGAACCGUCUUCGGGAACCGAGUACCUUCAAAAACCCAGGGACCCCUGUAUUUGAACCUUUCUCAGGAGCUGAGCCUCCAAAAGGCAACUUGCAUUUUCCCCGUGAAACACUCUCCCUGGCUCUAAGAAGCCACCUCCCUCUCCUUGAAAGCCCUGGGGUGUUUUAAGUU
Miniopterus natalensis is the source of this 1971-nucleotide non-coding RNA. NCBI's taxonomy places the organism in Eukaryota, Metazoa, Chordata, Mammalia, Chiroptera, Miniopteridae. The record is from RefSeq and is a predicted model, not a curated record.